GGAGGGAUGGCCGAGUGGUCUAAGGCGCUCGCCUGGAGAGCGGGUACACCGGAAACGGUGUCGUGGGUUCGAAUCCCACUCCCUCCGCCA
RNAcentral lists this transfer RNA (90 nucleotides) under Elioraea tepida. RNAcentral describes it as "Elioraea sp. MS-P2 tRNA-Ser". It matches the Rfam family "tRNA". Rfam says of the family: Transfer RNA (tRNA) molecules are approximately 80 nucleotides in length. Their secondary structure includes four short double-helical elements and three loops (D, anti-codon, and T loops). Further hydrogen bonds mediate the characteristic L-shaped molecular structure. tRNAs have two regions of fundamental functional importance: the anti-codon, which is responsible for specific mRNA codon recognition, and the 3' end, to which the tRNAs corresponding amino acid is attached (by aminoacyl-tRNA synthetases). tRNAs cope with the degeneracy of the genetic code in two manners: having more than one tRNA (with a specific anti-codon) for a particular amino acid; and 'wobble' base-pairing, i.e. permitting non-standard base-pairing at the 3rd anti-codon position. The record is from RNAcentral. Lineage: Bacteria; Pseudomonadati; Pseudomonadota; Alphaproteobacteria; Acetobacterales; Elioraeaceae.